Molecule: ribosomal RNA, 474 nt
Filed under: uncultured bacterium
Lineage: Bacteria
Description: bacterial SSU rRNA
Rfam family: Bacterial small subunit ribosomal RNA
Source: RNAcentral
ACUCCUACGGGAGGCAGCAGUAGGGAAGUCUUCCACAAUGGGCGCAAGCCUGAUGGAGCAACACCGCGUGAGUGAAGAAGGGUUUCGGCUCGUAAAGCUCUGUUGUUAAAGAAGAACACGUAUGAGAGUAACUGUUCAUACGUUGACGGUAUUUAACCAGAAAGUCACGGCUAACUACGUGCCAGCAGCCGCGGUAAUACGUAGGUGGCAAGCGUUAUCCGGAUUUAUUGGGCGUAAAGAGAGUGCAGGCGGUUUUCUAAGUCUGAUGUGAAAGCCUUCGGCUUAACCGGAGAAGUGCAUCGGAAACUGGAUAACUUGAGUGCAGAAGAGGGUAGUGGAACUCCAUGUGUAGCGGUGGAAUGCGUAGAUAUAUGGAAGAACACCAGUGGCGAAGGCGGCUACCUGGUCUGCAACUGACGCUGAGACUCGAAAGCAUGGGUAGCGAACAGGAUUAGAUACCCUGGUAGGCUACCG